AGGGAGGGCGGAACCAUUCGGUUUAGUGAGGGGGACGGAGGGGAAUAACGCGCCACGAGGGCACAGCCCCGCCUCCGGCACCCGAAACCAGCCCCAAAGGCGUCUUUCGAUGCCCUCGUCGCGCAGCUUGGCCGCCCCCCACCGCUAAAUUCGCCCCCCGCGAUGGCGGGCGGUGGUUUAGCCCAGCAGGCCGAGGUUGCUGAGGGAAGCGGCGGGAGCUUUCUCCACAGCGCGUUGGUGAUUCCAAACCGGACUCGGAGCGCGUCUCACAGGGAAAUCGGCCCCGCUCGGCGGUGUUUUGGCCGUCCGGGCCAUGGCGGUCAGCAGCCGAGGGUUUGCAGCACAGGGGGCCGUUAUUUCUGCCCCAGCUGGCGGCAGGGGAAACCGUGGGGCCCCGAGAGGUCGUGAGGGGGGUAAAUAAAGCCGGGGAAGAAAGGAAAAUAAAGUAAAAAUCAAAAAUGAAUUAGAAAAAAAUAUGUAGAUGAAGUAAAAACGAAGUGUUUCCGCCCGGGAUCGAACCGGGGACCUUUCGCGUGUGAGGCGAACGUGAUAACCGCUACACUACGGAAACCCGCCUGCUGGCACUUCUCCGGCAGCCGCCCAUGUUCGCCUCCUGUCAGCGCCUGUGGGGCCCUGAGGCUCUCCCGACGCCAAGCGGCUGCACCUCGCAGCGAGCCCCAAAAGCCAAACCGUCCCCAGGCAAAGAGGAACAUCUGUUAGGAUUCGGUGAAGCUCCUGUAACGCACAGCGGGCCAAACUCUGCGCCCAUCGCCUGUGUCUCUCCAAGCUGUACAAGAGGACGGGGCAGAGCAGGGCGACGUGACACCGGCAGCCACAGUGUAAUGACUUUCCCAUCACCGAAGCUUUGGAUCUCCCUUUCAGUCAGGCGAUCAGUGGAGAAAGGAGAGGAACAGACCAAACAGCCCCAGGGAGGAAGCUCUUGGAAGACUUCCCUGGAUGUCAUUCCCUUCUCUCUCUGA
RNAcentral lists this transfer RNA (980 nucleotides) under Anser cygnoides (Swan goose). RNAcentral describes it as "lncRNA (ENSACDG00005013920.1)". The record is from RNAcentral. Lineage: Eukaryota; Metazoa; Chordata; Aves; Anseriformes; Anatidae.